AUUGGCUUGACUACUUUGUGGUCGCUAAUUCACUUGAAUUCUUAUAAAUUGGACGGUUCUGUUACACACAUACAUCCAUUCAUUUCCAUCUCCAGAUUCACCCAAAAUUAUUCUAUUCCUAUCUAGGAGAGAAUAGCCAAAAACAUUAUCCUAUCCCUGUUACUCCCCGUGAAAUAAAUGCUUUUGAUAUUUUGGUUACUACCACUUGCUACAUUAUUCUAGGAGGGUGAGUGCUCUGAAAAAAAAGAGUGAAUACAUGGAAAUAAAAAGGGGCAAGUGCCCAAAACCUCGAAGAAAAGAAAAAGUGAGACGAGAGGUGAAAAUGGACAAGUGUCCGACAGUAGAAUUAGGGUUACAAGAUACCCACCUGAGAGAUAAAAAAAGGAAAAUAUAGAGCAUCUCAUUCCACUCAAAAACCUUCAAAGUGCAAGAAAGGUAUGUAUCCCCUCAAAAGAGCAAAAGUAGAAUUAGUCUUUCACCAUUAUUUUCACCAUUAUUACCAUCAUCACCAUACACCAUUCAUCCGCCACACAUGCACAUCUUGAUUUGACUUAUUGACUUGUUUCUCUGGAUCCAUGGUUUGACUACACAAUAAAUGUCUUGUAAGUAUGUAUUAGCUGUCUCCCACCUAUGAGCUCCAGAUAUCAAAACCUUGUUAGAGUAGGGUGAG
Molecule: long non-coding RNA, 670 nt
Filed under: Sorghum bicolor (sorghum)
Lineage: Eukaryota; Viridiplantae; Streptophyta; Magnoliopsida; Poales; Poaceae
Description: long non-coding RNA (SBIC_LNC012433)
Source: RNAcentral